UAAUAAUAAUGACCUUAGCUUAGUAUAAGGAGUUAGGUCGUUAAAAGAGAACACUAAUUUGCAUCCCACAGUUUUGUGUCUCUUAGGUAGAGCCCAAAUCUCCCUAGUUUUAUUCUUUUCAAGAGCCUUCAUCUCUUCCAUGACAACAUUCUUCCAUUCAAAACACUCUAAAAAAGUGUAGACAUUUUUUGGUAUUAUUGUAGAAGGCUUGCUGUAAAAGCUCUGAACUGCAGAGAGAGAUUAUCAUAGGAAACAUAGUUGCAAAUGAAAUGUUUAGUACGGAACCUGGUACCUUUUCUUAGAGCAAUGAGAAUGUCAAGAGAGGGAUUAUACUCAUCAAGUUUUCCUGUAUGACCAUGUUCAGCUUUAUUAUUAUUGGUUUCUGCUUUGACCUUAGUCUCAUCACCACUAUUCGUUUCUUCCAUGUUUUUAAGAACAGCAAUAUCAGACCUGUCAUUCUCACCCAUCUUAUUAUUAGUAUAAGGUUCAGUGUUGUUUUCCAUACCUUGAUCUUGAGGAGGUUAAAAGUAUUGGACUGGAGCAGAUGACUGACUAUAGGGGAUCCGACUUCCUUUCUGAGAGUCCUCCUAUAAUACAUUUUUCAGGGAACUUGGUUUAUGGGUAGGACUAUGGGAUGAGGAUCAACGUCAGACACGGUACUAGGAGUAGGUUUAAUAAAUUCUAAGGUGUUGUUAGAUUCUUCACGCACAGUUUCUCCUAAAGAUGACUAACAGAAAAGUAGGGUCGGUCCUCACAGAAAGUGACAUCCAUAGUCACAAAGUAUUUCUUGGAUCAUGGGUAAAAACAUUUAUAACCACACUAAUGAAGAGGAUACCCAAAAAACACACAUGCUUGAGCCCGAGAGGUAAAUUUGAUUUGAUUAGGGCCGAAACUAUGGACUUAAGCGGUACACCCAAACACAUAAAGGGGAUCCUCAGAAAUUAGACAAGUAGAAGGGUAAGACUCCUUAAGACAAUUUAAAGGAGUCUAAAGGUAGAUAAUAUGAGAAGACUUUCUAUUGAUUAAAUAAGUUGUUGUAAGAAUAGCAUCUUCCCAUAGGUAUGAAGGAAGAGAAGUAAAUAGCAUAGGGGAACAUGCUACUUCCAAAAGAUGUGGUUUUUUUGCUUGACCAUCCCAUUUUGUUGAAGAGUGUAGCCCCUGAGUCUAAAAUCUAGGGAUUCUUCCCAUCAACACUAAUAAAACCAAAGGACUAACGCAUACCUGACUGAGCAAUGGCAUACAAAGUAGGAGUCUUGGUCUAGUUUGUAGUACAGUCCAUUGCCUUUGAGGUGCUAACAGUGGUAGUUUCACAAAUGUGGGCAUGCCCCCUGAGUUUUAUUUCUCAUUGGAGGAUCGUUUCUUACCUUUUGGAGGACGAUUGUGGAGUUUCAAACACUGAUCCUUGGUGUGUCACUGUUUCUUGCAGUGCUCACAAACAGGGAUUGAUUUCCAUUAUUCUUGUCAUGAUCAUGAUUCGAGGAAUAGACACUAAAGGCAGUAGAGUCAGUGACAGGGGUAGUUAGUAAAUCCAUGGCGUUAGUACAGACUUCUUCAAGACAGACUUCAAAACACAUUUUCAUUAGGGAGGGAAGAGGUUUUUGUCUGAGUAUACAACCACAAACAAUAUCAAAUUUAAGAUUAAGCCUUACAAGGAAGUCAUAAAUACGAUCAGUCUACUCAAGUUUAGCAUAUUGUAUACUAUCAUUUGGAGUGUCCUAAACUAUCCCCAUACAUAAAUCCAUCUCUUACUAGAGAAGGGAGAGCUUGUUGAAAUAAGAAGCCACGUCCAAGGUCCAUUGUUUGCAAUCAUAGACCUAUUUUCUCAAUGUAUACAAUCAAAAGGCAUUUUGACACUUCUAGUAAAGGUUCUGAGUUGUACCUAACAAAUCUUUUACAGUGCGUGCGUACAGUAGAGGCUUUCCCAUCUAAGAUUCCAUACUAUUAAUCAACAUAGAUCGAAUAGAUCAUGUCAUUGCAUGGGGGAUCAUAUUUGAUUCGAAGGUGACGAUGUUAAAGUCACAGUAGAUGUUGUGGUGGAUGGUGAUUAUAUAAUUCCCAUUCCAUAAGAGCAAGGGAUGUACAAAAUGUCCCAGGAAGUUGGUUCACACAUAUUGUGGCCAGACAUCUUUUCAUUACUGACAAUAUAAAGGUAAUGAAUUUUUCAUUGAAGGAUAUACAUGUCGCAUUUUGUAUUAACCCUAAUUGCAAUAUCUUUUGUAGAUGGACUAUGGGGAAUUUACUAAGGAUAUGACCACAUUCACACCCACACCAAUUCAAAAUGCUCUAGUUGCACUAUGAUUCUUACUAUGAAUGGUUGAACAUAUAGGGUCAGCAAUUCAAAUCACCACACCAUAUGACGUAUUUGGGGUCCGAAGAAAAUGUUGCAUAAUGAUAGAGUCGUUGAAGGAUUUCUCGUCUAUGCGACCAAUAGCUACAGCUUGCCUUGAUGCGUACAAAAUGUAUCUAUACACACGUAUGGAAUCAUCAAGAACUUUGAAUCUAUACAAGUUUGUUGACGCUGGGUGUAUUAGUUGUGGGAGUUCUAAAGAAGAACGAGCCCAAUUGUUGACUGCACGAUUACUUGGAACAGAUUACGAUCAACUCUUACUCAUUUCUUACAAUUUUGGGAAUCAUUGGACUUUGGUUGUAAUAAACCGAUCGAAGGGUGCUGCCUUUUGAAUAGACCCUUUGAAAAACCGUAUUGACCCAUAUGUAUCUGAAGUAGUUGAAAGGUCAUUCAACAUAAUGAAGAAGAAAAAACCAAAUUGGAGGGUCGUGAAGGUAUGUG
Cucumis melo (muskmelon) is the source of this 2788-nucleotide long non-coding RNA. RefSeq lists it as uncharacterized. The transcript is spliced from 4 exons. Lineage: Eukaryota; Viridiplantae; Streptophyta; Magnoliopsida; Cucurbitales; Cucurbitaceae. The record is from RefSeq and is a predicted model, not a curated record.